Molecule: ribosomal RNA, 220 nt
Filed under: Tetraselmis striata
Lineage: Eukaryota; Viridiplantae; Chlorophyta; Chlorodendrophyceae; Chlorodendrales; Chlorodendraceae
Description: partial Bacterial large subunit ribosomal RNA
Rfam family: Bacterial large subunit ribosomal RNA
Source: RNAcentral
ACACUGCCAAGAAAAGCUUCUAGCGUUAAUCAUACUCUACCCGUACCGCAAACCGACACAGGUAGUCAAGGAGAGUAUCCUGAGGCGCUCGAGUGAAUCACGGCCAAGGAACUCGGCAAAAUGGUCCUGUAACUUCGGGAGAAGGGACGCUUCCUCUAGUGAUAGAGAAGCCGCAGUGAAAAGACCCAAGCGACUGUUUAACAAAAACACAUGACUUUGC